Molecule: ribosomal RNA, 521 nt
Filed under: uncultured Glomus
Lineage: Eukaryota; Fungi; Glomeromycota; Glomeromycetes; Glomerales; Glomeraceae
Description: SSU rRNA
Rfam family: Eukaryotic small subunit ribosomal RNA
Source: RNAcentral
AGCAGCCGCGGUAAUUCCAGCUCCAAUAGCGUAUAUUAAAGUUGUUGCAGUUAAAAAGCUCGUAGUUGAAUUUCGGGAUCAAGUUGUCGGUCGUGCCUCGGUACGCACUGGUGACAUUGGUUUCUCCCUUCUGAAGAACCUUGAUGUCAUUAAUUUGGUGUCUUGGGAAAUCAGGACUGUUACUUUGAAAAAAUUAGAGUGUUUAAAGCAGGCUCACGCUUGAAUACAUUAGCAUGGAAUAAUGAAAUAGGACGUUUGAUUCUAUUUUGUUGGUUUCUAGGAUCGAUGUAAUGAUUAAUAGGGAUAGUUGGGGGCAUUAGUAUUCAAUUGUCAGAGGUGAAAUUCUUGGAUUUAUUGAAGACUAACUACUGCGAAAGCAUUUGCCAAGGAUGUUUUCAUUAAUCAAGAACGAAAGUUAGGGGAUCGAAGACGAUCAGAUACCGUCGUAGUCUUAACCAUAAACUAUGCCGACUAGGGAUCGGAUGAUGUUAAUUUUUUAAUGACUCAUUCGGCGCCUUACG